Molecule: long non-coding RNA, 1327 nt
Filed under: Chrysemys picta bellii (western painted turtle)
Lineage: Eukaryota; Metazoa; Chordata; Testudines; Emydidae
Description: lncRNA (ENSCPBG00000014941.1)
Source: RNAcentral
AAUAAGCCUAGUUAAAGCGGCAACACUUCUAUCUAUGGACGAGGCCUCAAACAAGGAACCAGGAAUGCCCUGUACAGCCUCUGAAUUCCCCAAGAGAAGGAACAGAAUAACGGGGAACUAGGACCAGCUAGAUUCUGUUCUCUGGCUUUUCAUGCUUGGAGGUUACCCGUAUAAUUGUGAGCCAGUGAGAACACAAUAAAAGUCAUCAUAAAUUCAGGAUCACAUGGCAUCUAGGUCUGAUGUUCCUUCUUUUACCAUUAUUAAGACGAUAAUAAGCAUGUUUACAUUUUUAUAAUAAUUUUGCACUAUGCAUAGACAGCCUAAUUCUCUGUUGUGCUUAAGCCCCUUUAUGUUGAUUUUGGUUGAUUUGAAUAAAGGAUCCUUAAACCAGAAGGCAGCAAUCACUUCCAGGGACUGCCCCCGGUGUGAGAAGAUUCCCUGGCCAGCUAGAGGUGUCAGAAAGACUUACACCAAGCUCCUCUCUGGUCCCCAGUGCAGGAAUUCAAAGUGAUUAGGGAAAAAUGGAAGAAUUCAUGCUGCAGGACAGGUCUGAACAAAGAAGAGCAGAACAUGCAGGGAGACGCUCAUUUACUGCUUGCUGCUGCCGUUUCUGGAAAGUACAUGUUCCAGUUGCAGUUUCCUAUGGAACGUCUUUACCAAUGAAGAGACCAUCAGGAUCUAACUGCUGUAUCUGGAAACCCUUGGGGGAGAGAGGCACAUUUCUAGCUUGUCAUUCUGCCUGGAUGAGAUUGGAGGCUCAUUACCGAAUUAGAAUAUUAUAAACCUAACAACACACAGCUAAAUUUCAGGUUUCCAAAGUCAUUCUUCAUAACUCCCCCUCUCCCACCCCCUCCCCCACCCAAUAGACUGCAGCCCCUUUGUCAGAUAAACUUUCUAAAGAACAGCACUGAAGAGGAAGGCAGGAGGGAAAGAGCAGCAGAGUGGAGUGAUUAGAAAAUGGAACAGGUUCUCAUUGGGGUGCAGAGCAUGUACGAAUUACUCGAGACAUUAUGGAUGACAGGCAUCAUUUCAUCCUGGAUCCCACCGUGACUGUAAACUUGCUCAUCUGUGCAUUUGCUACAGGCCUAGAAUAUUUUACAGUUCAAGUUAUCCUAAGCACCGUUAUUUCCUCCUUUUUCUCAAGAAGGCUCUGGAAUAGACACCUGAUCAAGAAGACCACUGUACCCAUUUUUCCUUCAUGAUGGAACUGCCUAUUAUCGCUGGCUUGAGGAAUUGGUGGUGGACUACAGCGCUGUACGUCACUAGUUCAACUGUGACGCCAUUCAGCAUGAAUAAAAAUUGGUGAAUUAUGAGAAUGGAAUGGAUC